UCCCUGGUGGUUCAGAUGGUAAAGAAUCUGCCUGUAAUGCAGGAGACUCAGGUUCAAUCCCUGGACUGGGAC
RNAcentral lists this transfer RNA (72 nucleotides) under Bos taurus (domestic cattle). It matches the Rfam family "tRNA". Rfam says of the family: Transfer RNA (tRNA) molecules are approximately 80 nucleotides in length. Their secondary structure includes four short double-helical elements and three loops (D, anti-codon, and T loops). The record is from Rfam by way of RNAcentral. Lineage: Eukaryota; Metazoa; Chordata; Mammalia; Artiodactyla; Bovidae. RNAcentral also lists the same sequence under 4 other names.